This 460-nucleotide ribosomal RNA is filed under the name uncultured bacterium. Its description in RNAcentral is "partial 16S ribosomal RNA". It matches the Rfam family "Bacterial small subunit ribosomal RNA", at positions 338 to 795 of the family's 1533-position model. The record is from RNAcentral.
CCUACGGGUGGCAGCAGUGAGGAAUAUUGGUCAAUGGGCGGGAGCCUGAACCAGCCAAGUCGCGGGAGGGAAGACGGUCCUAUGGAGUGUAAACCUCUUUAGGCGGGGAGCAAUGCCGGGCACGUGUGCCCGGAGGGAGAGUACCCGCAGAAUAAGCAGCGGCUAACUCCGUGCCAGCAGCCGCGGUAAUACGGAGGAUGCGAGCGUUAUCCGGAUUGAUUGGGUUGAAAGGGUGCGUAGGCGGAUUUUUAAGUCAGCGGUAAAAUGUCCGGGCUCAACCCGGGCCGGCCGUUGAAACGGGGGAUCUUGAGUGGGCGAGAAGUAUGCGGAAUGCGUGGUGUAGCGGUGAAAUGCAUAGAUAUCACGCAGAACUCCGAUUGCGAAGGCAGCAUACCGGCGCCCGACUGACGCUGAGGCACGAAAGCGUGGGGAUCGAACAGGAUUAGAUACCCUGGUAGUC